GCGCUCCCCCCAGCUCCCCCGCAGCCCGGGCUCGCCGGGGGCCCGUCGGGGCGCAGAGGUGAGGGGCGGGAGGGACAAGCGGGGCCGGGCAGGGGCCGGGGGGCGAGCAGAAAGGAGGGCUGGGGGGGACGGGAGGGGAGCUGCGGGCGGAGGGCUGAGCGCUGAGGAGCGCGGGGGCUCUGUCCCCGCCGGGCCCCGGGAGCGGGCAGAGCCCGUCGGGGCCGCACCUGCAGCGCAGCCCGGCCGCUGGGCACGCGGGGACGGGCGGCCGGGGGAAGCCGGGCACAUCCCCAGCCAAAGUGCCGCCGCCCGACCCCGGGGCUGGAGCGGAGCGGGGGCCCCCGGCCAGUGGGGAGAGGAGCCCGAGGGGAAAAACCCUGCGAGGAAGGACGAAGGGAGCUGCCCGCGGCGUCCGGCCCCGGCUCGCCUGAAAGCCCCCAGGCUCGAUCCGUUCAGCCCCGGACCAGGGAGGGCCGCAGCGCCGGCGGCAGCGCGGUGCCAGUCCGGCGGUGGCACAGCCCCGCGUCGAGGCUGGAUUCGCUUCGCAGCGCUCCGGCGAAGCAGAGAGGCCGGGGAGCGGGACAAGCGCCCGGGGGCUGGGGAGACAGCCAGCAAACGUGGCCGGGGACUUUAGAGUCUUGGUGGGGGAACGGAGAGGCCGGCCUGGGGCUGGGAGUGGGGCCGCGGGGGCUUGCACGUCCCAGAGGGCAGCAGCGAUUAGGGGGCUGGAGGGGGGGGGGGGGGAGCCGCGGCACGGCUGGAGGCCGUUCCCGGCAGGUCCCCUGCUCCCGGAGGAUCCCCUGAUCCCUGAGGGCCCCCUGAUCCCGAGGGGUCCCGUGCUCCCGGGGGGUCCCGUGCAGCCCCCAGCGAGUGGCCAGGCCGAGGGCUCCGCACCCGGGCUGUGCCCGACGGGGCGCCUCUUCCCGCUGCGGCUGUAGCCACGAAGCAGGGAGCGGGAAAAGGGAGAGAGCCGGGAGAAAGGGAGAAAGUCUGGGCAAGCAAAGCACGGGCAGCAACCCCUUGGCAACCUCCUCUGCUGGGGCGCUGGGUUCGGGGCCCUUCUUAAUUCCCAGGUAUUUUUACCUCCCGCGGGAGAGGCUGCCCCAGGGCCGGGCACGUCCCGGGGCCUCUUUGCUGCUCGCAUUCACGGCUUCUUCGUUUCCCCCCGCACCCCGGGAGCUUUGCUUCGUGGGGUCCUAACGAAAUCCGUUCCCCUCCUUCGCUGCUCGCAGCCAGGUAGCAGCGCGGGGCCGCACCGGGACACCCUGUGCCCCUGCUCCCGGCACCGAAAAUGCCCCGGCCGGGAACCGCAGCGGCGGAGAAACAACCCCCCGAUCGCGUCCCGUUCUGCCCUUGUGCCUUCAGCGGCAGGAACAUAUGCUCAAAUAUGUACGGGUAGUCUAGAUUUUUCUCUGCAAAUAUUUUUACCGCAUCCAAAGAUAAUAUUUCAACAGAAGAAUCAAGCCCCGCAGGCUACAGACAGGGCAGCUAUAUAUAACCCGCUUGCUCACUCGGGCUCUCGGCGCACCGCUCGGGUUAUGCAAGCCCCGGUGCGGCGGUAGCCACCGGCGCUCCCCACGGCUCCGCCCGCCCCGUCGGGGGCAGAUCCCCCGGGACUUCGCUGCGGCCGCCCGACGGAGGCACCGGCACCGGCACCGGGGCUGGGCCGGGGACAGGGGC
Long non-coding RNA from Anser cygnoides (Swan goose), 1680 nucleotides. NCBI's taxonomy places the organism in Eukaryota, Metazoa, Chordata, Aves, Anseriformes, Anatidae. The record is from Ensembl.